RNAcentral lists this transfer RNA (65 nucleotides) under Phrynosoma mcallii (Flat-tail horned lizard). RNAcentral describes it as "tRNA-Cys". The record is from RNAcentral. Lineage: Eukaryota; Metazoa; Chordata; Lepidosauria; Squamata; Phrynosomatidae.
AGCCCUGGGGUGACUCACGUCAAAUUGCAAGUUUGAAGAAGGACCCAGAAAGGGUCCCGGGGCUU